This 451-nucleotide ribosomal RNA is filed under the name uncultured bacterium. Its description in RNAcentral is "bacterial SSU rRNA". It matches the Rfam family "Bacterial small subunit ribosomal RNA", at positions 340 to 784 of the family's 1533-position model. The record is from RNAcentral.
UACGGGAGGCAGCAGUGGGGAAUAUUGCACAAUGGGCGCAAGCCUGAUGCAGCCAUGCCGCGUGUAUGAAGAAGGCCUUCGGGUUGUAAAGUACUUUCAGUCGUGAGGAAGGUGUUAAGGUUAAUAACCUUAGCAAUUGACGUUAGCGACAGAAGAAGCACCGGCUAACUCCGUGCCAGCAGCCGCGGUAAUACGGAGGGUGCGAGCGUUAAUCGGAAUUACUGGGCGUAAAGGGCACGCAGGCGGUUAAUUAAGUUGGAUGUGAAAUCCCCGGGCUUAACCUGGGAAUGGCAUUCAAGACUGGUUAGCUAGAGUCUUGUAGAGGGGGUAGAAUUCCAUGUGUAGCGGUGAAAUGCGUAGAGAUGUGGAGGAAUACCGGUGGCGAAGGCGGCCCCUGGACAAAGGCUGACGCUCAUGUGCGAAAGCGUGGGGAGCAAACAGGGAUUAGAUA